CAGCAGCCGCGGUAAUUCCAGCUCCAAUAGCGGUAUAUUAAAGUUGUUGCAGUUAAAAAGCUCGUAGUUGAAUUUCGGGAUCAAUAUGCCGGUCAUGCCUUGGUAUGCACUGGUAUCUUUGAUUUCUCCCUUCUGACGAACUUUGAUGUCAUUAAUUUGGUGUCAUAGGGAAUCAGGACUGUUACUUUGGAAAAAUUAGAGUGUUUAAAGCAAGCUCACGCUUGAAUACAUUAGCAUGGAAUAAUGAAAUAGGACGUUUGAUUCUAUUUUGUUGGUUUCUAGGAUCGACGUAAUGAUUAAUAGGGAUAGUUGGGGGCAUUAGUAUUCAAUUGUCAGAGGUGAAAUUCUUGGAUUUAUUGAAGACUAACUACUGCGAAAGCAUUUGCCAAGGAUGUUUUCAUUAAUCAAGAACGAAAGUUAGGGGAUCGAAGACGAUCAGAUACCGUCGUAGUCUUAACCAUAAAUUAUGCCGACUAGGGAUCGGAUGAUGUUAAUUUUUAAUGACUC
This 507-nucleotide ribosomal RNA is filed under the name uncultured Glomus. Its description in RNAcentral is "SSU rRNA". It matches the Rfam family "Eukaryotic small subunit ribosomal RNA", at positions 568 to 1077 of the family's 1831-position model. Lineage: Eukaryota; Fungi; Glomeromycota; Glomeromycetes; Glomerales; Glomeraceae. The record is from RNAcentral.